UCCUCGUUGACCGAGGCAGUCUCGUGUGAAAAAUACAACACACGACGAGGGUUGCGCUCGUUGCGGGACUUAACCCAACAUCUCACGACACGAGCUGACGACGACCAUGCAGCACCUGUCACCGGUCCGGCCGAACCGACUCUCUCGUUUCCGAGAGAUGCGACCGGGAUGUCAAGCCCUGGUAAGGUUCUUCGCUUAGCGUCGAAUUAAACCACACGCUCCACCGCUUGUGCGGCCCCCCGUCAAUUCCUUUGAGUUUUAGCCUUGCGGCCGUACUCCCCAGGCGGGGUACUUAACGCGUUAGCUUCGACACCCAGGGGGUCUAUUCCCCGGAUGCCUAGUACCCGUCGUUUACAGCGUGGACUAC
This 367-nucleotide unclassified non-coding RNA is filed under the name uncultured bacterium. Its description in RNAcentral is "contains 16S-23S intergenic spacer region". The record is from RNAcentral.